AACCUGGUUGAUCCUGCCAGUAGUCAUAUGCUUGUCUCAAAGAUUAAGCCAUGCAUGUCUAAGUAUAAGCACUCAUACUGUGAAACUGCGAAUGGCUCAUUAAACCAGUUAUCGUUUAUUUGAUAGUACCUUUACCUGGAUAACCGUGGUAAUUCUAGAGCUAAUACAUGCUAAAAAUCCCGACUUCGGAAGGGAUGUAUUUAUUAGAUAAAAAACCAAUGCCCUUCGGGGCUCCGUGGUGAUUCAUAAUAACUGCACGAAUCGCAGGGCCUUGCGCCGGCGAUGGUUCAUUCAAAUUUCUGCCCUAUCAACUUUCGAUGGUAGGAUAGUGGCCUACCAUGGUCUCAACGGGUAACGGGGAAUUAGGGUUCUAUUCCGGAGAGGGAGCCUGAGAAACGGCUACCACAUCCAAGGAAGGCAGCAGGCGCGCAAAUUACCCAAUCCCAAUUCGGGGAGGUAGUGACAAUAAAUACUGAUACAGGGCUCUUUUGGGUCUUGUAAUUGGAAUGAGUACAAUCUAAAUCCCUUAACGAGGAACAAUUGGAGGGCAAGUCUGGUGCCAGCAGCCGCGGUAAUUCCAGCUCCAAUAGCGUAUAUUAAAGUUGUUGCCGUUUUCAAGCUUUAUAUACGACUCAACCAGAGGGUCA
RNAcentral lists this ribosomal RNA (647 nucleotides) under uncultured Coniosporium. RNAcentral describes it as "SSU rRNA". It matches the Rfam family "Eukaryotic small subunit ribosomal RNA", at positions 1 to 654 of the family's 1831-position model. Lineage: Eukaryota; Fungi; Ascomycota. The record is from RNAcentral.